RNAcentral lists this ribosomal RNA (497 nucleotides) under uncultured bacterium. Its description in RNAcentral is "partial 16S ribosomal RNA". It matches the Rfam family "Bacterial small subunit ribosomal RNA", at positions 28 to 507 of the family's 1533-position model. The record is from RNAcentral.
GAUGAACGCUGGCGGCGUGCCUAAUACAUGCAAGUCGAGCGAACAGACGAGGAGCUUGCUCCUUUGACGUUAGCGGCGGACGGGUGAGUAACACGUGGGUAACCUACCUAUAAGACUGGGAUAACUUCGGGAAACCGGAGCUAAUACCGGAUAAUAUUUCGAACCGCAUGGUUCGAUAGUGAAAGAUGGCUUUGCUAUCACUUAUAGAUGGACCUGCGCCGUAUUAGCUAGUUGGUAAGGUAACGGCUUACCAAGGCAACGAUACGUAGCCGACCUGAGAGGGUGAUCGGCCACACUGGAACUGAGACACGGUCCAGACUCCUACGGGAGGCAGCAGUGGGGAAUCUUCCGCAAUGGGCGAAAGCCUGACGGAGCAACGCCGCGUGAGUGAUGAAGGUCUUCGGAUCGUAAAACUCUGUUAUUAGGGAAGAAUAAACGUGUAAGUAACUGUGCACGUCUUGACGGUACCUAAUCAGAAAGCCACGGCUAACUACGUG